Molecule: ribosomal RNA, 301 nt
Filed under: uncultured bacterium
Lineage: Bacteria
Description: partial 16S ribosomal RNA
Rfam family: Bacterial small subunit ribosomal RNA
Source: RNAcentral
CAGUAGCCGCGGUAAUACGUAGGUCACAAGCGUUAUCCGGAUUUAUUGGGCGUAAAGCGCGUCUAGGUGGUUAUGUAAGUCUGAUGUGAAAAUGCAGGGCUCAACUCUGUAUUGCGUUGGAAACUGUGUAACUAGAGUACUGGAGAGGUAAGCGGAACUACAAGUGUAGAGGUGAAAUUCGUAGAUAUUUGUAGGAAUGCCGAUGGGGAAGCCAGCUUACUGGACAGAUACUGACGCUGAAGCGCGAAAGCGUGGGUAGCAAACAGGAUUAGAUACCCGAGUAGUCCCUGUCUCUUAUACA